CAGCCGCCGCGGUAAAACGUAGGGUGCGAGCGUUAAUCGGAAUUACUGGGCGUAAAGCGUGCGCAGGCGGAUAUUUAAGUCAGGGGUGAAAUCCCAGAGCUCAACUCUGGAACUGCCUUUGAUACUGGGUAUCUUGAGUUCGGGAGAGGUGAGUGGAACUGCGAGCGUAGAGGUGAAAUUCGUAGAUAUUCGCAAGAACACCAGUGGCGAAGGCGGCUCACUGGCCCGAUACUGACGCUGAGGCACGAAAGCGUGGGGAGCAAACAGGAUUAGAUACCCCAGUAGUCCCUGUCUCUUAUAC
RNAcentral lists this ribosomal RNA (301 nucleotides) under uncultured bacterium. RNAcentral's name for it is "partial 16S ribosomal RNA". It matches the Rfam family "Bacterial small subunit ribosomal RNA", at positions 509 to 807 of the family's 1533-position model. The record is from RNAcentral.